UGCGGGUUCGUAUAUCGGUAAUACACCGGAUUCUGACUCCGGUAAGGAAGGUUCGAUUCCUUCACCCGCAG
This 71-nucleotide transfer RNA is filed under the name Hungatella hathewayi. Its description in RNAcentral is "tRNA-Gln(ctg)". It matches the Rfam family "tRNA". From Rfam's summary of the family: Transfer RNA (tRNA) molecules are approximately 80 nucleotides in length. Their secondary structure includes four short double-helical elements and three loops (D, anti-codon, and T loops). Further hydrogen bonds mediate the characteristic L-shaped molecular structure. tRNAs have two regions of fundamental functional importance: the anti-codon, which is responsible for specific mRNA codon recognition, and the 3' end, to which the tRNAs corresponding amino acid is attached (by aminoacyl-tRNA synthetases). tRNAs cope with the degeneracy of the genetic code in two manners: having more than one tRNA (with a specific anti-codon) for a particular amino acid; and 'wobble' base-pairing, i.e. permitting non-standard base-pairing at the 3rd anti-codon position. The record is from RNAcentral. RNAcentral also lists the same sequence under 3 other names. Lineage: Bacteria; Bacillati; Bacillota; Clostridia; Lachnospirales; Lachnospiraceae.